This 246-nucleotide ribosomal RNA is filed under the name uncultured bacterium. Its description in RNAcentral is "partial 16S ribosomal RNA". It matches the Rfam family "Bacterial small subunit ribosomal RNA", at positions 523 to 769 of the family's 1533-position model. The record is from RNAcentral.
AUACAUAGGUGGCAAGCGUUAUCCGGAAUUAUUGGGCGUAAAGAGUGAGCAGGCGGCAGGUUAAGUUUGGAGUGAAAGCGUGGGGCUUAACCCCAUACAGCUUCAAAAACUGGCCAGCUAGAGUACGAGAGAAGUAAGCGGAAUUCCAUGUGUAGCGGUGAAAUGCGUAGAUAUAUGGAGGAACACCGGUGGCGAAGGCGGCUUACUAGCUCGAUACUGACGCUCAGUCACGAAAGCGUGGGGAGC